This 484-nucleotide ribosomal RNA is filed under the name uncultured bacterium. Its description in RNAcentral is "partial 16S ribosomal RNA". It matches the Rfam family "Bacterial small subunit ribosomal RNA", at positions 29 to 507 of the family's 1533-position model. The record is from RNAcentral.
AUUGAACGCUGGCGGCAUGCCUUACACAUGCAAGUCGAACGGCAGCACGGGGGCAACCCUGGUGGCGAGUGGCGAACGGGUGAGUAAUACAUCGGAACGUGUCCUGUAGUGGGGGAUAGCCCGGCGAAAGCCGGAUUAAUACCGCAUACGCUCUACGGAGGAAAGGGGGGGAUCUUAGGACCUCCCGCUACAGGGGCGGCCGAUGGCAGAUUAGCUAGUUGGUGGGGUAAAGGCCUACCAAGGCGACGAUCUGUAGCUGGUCUGAGAGGACGACCAGCCACACUGGGACUGAGACACGGCCCAGACUCCUACGGGAGGCAGCAGUGGGGAAUUUUGGACAAUGGGGGCAACCCUGAUCCAGCAAUGCCGCGUGUGUGAAGAAGGCCUUCGGGUUGUAAAGCACUUUUGUCCGGAAAGAAAACGCCGUGGUUAAUACCCGUGGAGGAUGACGGUACCGGAAGAAUAAGCACCGGCUAACUACGUG